CUUUAUUUAAUUUACUGGAGGCUCCUACUCUCUUCUACUCCCCAAACCACAGAGAAUAGACAGACAGAGUUGCAAGACCGAGUAUAUUUCCAGGAAGUUUUCCCAUGCUGUGGGCACACCAAGUUCCAAAUUCAGACCAUCAGAGGAGGAGGCCGCUGGAAAUGUGGCCUUGAGGGUCUCUCCAUCCACACCAGCAGAGUGGCUCAUCCAGAUAAGGAGGAGAAAGAAGAGGACGUGGAAUGACAUGUUCCAAGAGAUCCUGCAAGCCUCUACUGCUUCAGAUACCGAGCACAGGGCUUGGAGGAACACCCUCGUCGACAGCAUGGCCAGGGAUAGAGUGGAGAGGAGAACUGUGCAGGAAAAGGAGAGGAACGUUCAGCAGGAGAUCCUAGUGUUUCUCAAGCAGCAAACAGACACUCUGCAGAUUCUUGUUGAUCUUCAGGUUCAACAGUGUAAUGCUCAUCCCCCUCUGCAGCCCAUAGAGAACUGCAUUUCGGGACCUCCCUCCCCCCUCCCCCCAUGCAUUCCACAUGAUGUCUGGGGCAGUUGCACUACCCCUACUACUCCACACCAGGGGAGAGUACAGGCAAUCACAGCUGCACAUACACUGAACUGUGAAAGACAUGAUUGCUGUAUGUGCUUCUGAAAUGGAAAUGACUGUGCUUUCCCCUCUAUUUAUUGAGUUUUAUUCAGUUACUAGUUUGUCUGUUUGCAUGGGUAUGGGAUAAAAGUCUAUUUAUGGAAACCUAAUUAUCUUUAUUAGUUCACAGCAUAUGCUGGCUGGGGCUGACAUCAUUCACAGAUAAUAGUAAUAGGUGCAUUUGCAAUGUUAUAUUACCAUACACACAACACUUAUUACAAUAUUCAUAGUGGGGUGCAAAAAACAAUGCCAGGCAGACCCCACUACAGCAACACACAUUGCUGUGGCUCAUUAUUGAAAUGGUCUUUCAAAAACCUCCCUAAGCUGAAUAGCUCUGUGUUGAGCUCUUAUAGCCCUGGUAUCUGGCUGCUCAAAACCAGCACACAGCCAUUUAACCUCCACCUAUAAUUAUUGAGAUAUUUUUUCUCACUAAGGCCCUAUCUCGUGAGUAGACAGCGCCAGUGACCCUUCAGAUGACCAAAGGCACAUUCAACUGCUAUUCUGCAUCUGCUGAGCCUAUAGUUGAAGGGCUCCGUGGUGCUGUCAAGGUGACCAGUGUUACAGCUUCAUGAGCCAUGAGAGUAAAGAGUAGGCUGGGUCUCCCAGGUUCACUAUUGGCAUUUCAACAUCCCCAGUGGUAAUCUGCCAGUAUGGAAAGAAAGUUCCUGCUUGCAGCAUUCUGAACAGUUAAGUGUGCUUAUACAUGCGCACAUCAUGCACCUUCCCUGACCAGCCCACAUGGAUGUCAAUAAAGCAUCCCUGGAAAUCCACCAAUGCUUGUUUUAUCAUACAAAAGUAGCCCUUUCUGUUGAUGUACUCUGUGGCAAAGUGGUCUGGGGCCAAAAUCAGGAUAUGCAUGCCAUCUUUCACCCCACCACAGAUUAGGAACCCCAUUGCUGCAAAACCAUCCACUAUGUCCUGCAUAUUGCCCAGAGUCAAAGUCCUUUGUAGCAGGAUGCAAUUAAUGGCCCUCCCCCCUUGCACCACAACGGCCCCUAUGGUGGAUCUCCCAACUCCAAAUUGAUUCCCGACCAAUUGGUAGGAAUUGGGAGUUGCAAGUUUCCACAGAGCGAUUGCCACUUGCUUCUCCACUGUCCAUGCAGAUCUCAUUUUGGUAUGGCCAUGCUGGAGGGCUGGGGUGAGCUCUGCACACAGAUCCAGGAAUGUGGCCUUGCGCAUUCAAAAGUUCUGCACUCACUGCUCGUCAUCCCAAACCUGCAUGACAAUGCAAUCCCACCAGUCACUGCUCGUUUCUCAAGCCCAGAACCAGCACUCCACCAUCUGCAGCUGCUCUGUGAAUGCCACCAACAGCUUUGAAUUGUUUUUUUUCUAUGUCCCACAGCAAGGAAUCAUGUUCCCAGUGGCUCCUCUGGCAGUUCUGCAAAUAUUGUGGGAUUAGAUACCUUGUGUUUACCACGCUCAUCACAAUAGAGCAGAGCUGUGCAGGAUUCAUACUUCUGACACAGAUGGUGGACAGUGAGGAGGGACGCAUGGGUUUGUGGGGAUUUUGAAAAGAGACAUGAAACAUUAGGGGAUGCAAGAUGAAACUAUGGGAUUGAGACCAUUGCAUUAUGGGACCUUGAAAUCAUGUUCGCAGUCACCCCUCCACGAUUUGUUUAAGUCCCAUGAGGCAUUGCAAAACCUUCCCAAAACUCCCUAUGCUAUAUGGUGGUGAGUUGUACGGUGGGAUAGUUACCCAUGGUACACUGCUCUCUGCAUUGAUGCAAGCGUUUCUAAUGAGGACGUUCACCGUUGACACAGUAUCAGAGGGAUAGCCGUGUUAGUCUGAAUCUGUAAAAAGCAACAGAGAGUCCUGUGGCACCUUUAAGACUAACAGAAGUAU
Non-coding RNA from Chrysemys picta bellii (western painted turtle), 2483 nucleotides. NCBI's taxonomy places the organism in Eukaryota, Metazoa, Chordata, Testudines, Emydidae. The record is from RefSeq and is a predicted model, not a curated record.